RNAcentral lists this ribosomal RNA (610 nucleotides) under Trichoderma gamsii. Its description in RNAcentral is "eukaryotic LSU rRNA". The stretch from base 216 to 369 matches the Rfam family "5.8S ribosomal RNA". The record is from RNAcentral. Lineage: Eukaryota; Fungi; Ascomycota; Sordariomycetes; Hypocreales; Hypocreaceae.
CAACGGUGACGCGGAGGGACAUUUACCGAAGUUUACAACUUCCCAAACCCAAUGUGAACCAUACCAAACUUGUUUGCCUCGGCGGGGUCACGCCCCGGGUGCGUCGCAGCCCCGGAACCAGGCGCCCGCCGGUAGGGACCAACCAAACUCUUUUCUGUAGUCCCCUCGCGGACGUUAUUUCUUACAGCUCUGAGCAAAAAUUCAAAAUGAAUCAAAACUUUCAACAACGGAUCUCUUGGUUCUGGCAUCGAUGAAGAACGCAGCGAAAUGCGAUAAGUAAUGUGAAUUGCAGAAUUCAGUGAAUCAUCGAAUCUUUGAACGCACAUUGCGCCCGCCAGUAUUCUGGCGGGCAUGCCUGUCCGAGCGUCAUUUCAACCCUCGAACCCCUCCGGGGGGUCGGCGUUGGGGAUCGGGAACCCCUAAGACGGGAUCCCGGCCCCGAAAUACAGUGGCGGUCUCGCCGCAGCCUCUCCUGCGCAGUAGUUUGCACAACUCGCACCGGGAGCGCGGCGCGUCCACGUCCGUAAAACACCCAACUUCUGAAAUGUUGACCUCGGAUCAGGUAGGAAUACCCGCUGAACUUAAGCAUAUCAAAAGGGGGGAGAGAGAA